GGUGAGAGCCCGGCGGAGCCGGAGAGCUGCGGAGCUUAAAUGAAGCGCACACACGAAGCGGCACACACCGUGCAGUGCGGCUCAGGAAGAGGCUCAGCGCCGCUAAAGCUGAAGGCUGCUCCGGCUGAAUGAAAGGUCCAUGCGGAGGCUAGCGCUCAUUCUGCUGCCCUGUGCUGUCGCCGUCCUGGUGCACUUGUGGUUGGCACAACGACCCUCCUCCAGCCCGCUGGACAACAACACACACUCGGAUGAAUCGUUACCUUUCUAUGAAGUUUUGGUGGGAGUGCUGUCAGCAAGACACCAUUAUGAACUGCGACAAGCGAUAAGGCAGACCUGGCUGGGCUACAUCCGAGACCACCCUCACUUCCAGCUCAGAGUGGGGGUGAAGUUCAUCGUCGGAGAACAUGGGUGUCCCAUUCCAGAGGAGGACAGAGAGGAUCCAUACUCCUGCUCCCUCCUGAACUUUACAAAGCCAGUGGUGGGGCCGGAUGCAGAGAUAGAGAUCGUGAAGGUGUCUGACCCCUCGCUGCUCGCCCCCUCCGACGUGUCUGCCAUCGCCCUGGAUUUCAAAGUUCUCCACCCAGUGGUGAUCACGAGGCUGGGGGUGUUUCCCAGCGGGACCCAGCCCGAGCUUCAAAGCAAUGUGACGGUGAAGCUUCUCCAGCUCGACCAGGAGGAGGCUGUGGUCACGGCUCGCUUCAGUGCCAUCAGCACCGGCACCGUGGUGAGCGGGGUGUGGUACAAACCAGUGGAGCAGUUCAUCUUGCCCAAGGGUUUUGAGGGGACACUGGUCUGGGAGAAUUUGGAUUCUGCUGGAUUGACCACGGUCAACUCGUCUUCUGUGCAGCUCAAUGACGGAGGAGGUGUCCUCAAGAUCUCCUCUAUCGCCGAGGGCUUAUUGCCUCAUAGAAGUGCGCUCGGAUUUCCCGGUUUGGCUGGAGGGUUCACAUUUACUAUCUAUGAUGAGGACGGUCUGUCGGGGCUCCUGCGGGGCCGCCCGGCCAGGAUGGAGCGCCAUGCCUCCAGGCUGAGGGAGGAGGACGCCGCCCUGCAGCAGGAGAGCCUCCGGCACGGAGACAUGGUGUUCGUAGACGUGGUAGACACCUACAGGAACGUGCCUUCCAAACUGCUUCAGUUCUAUAAAUGGUCUGUGGGAAACGCUGACUUUAAUCUGCUGCUGAAGACGGAUGAUGAUUGUUACAUCGACGUGGACUCAGUUUUAAUGAAGAUUGACCACAAGGGUCUCAAGCGCAGCAAUUUCUGGUGGGGGAAUUUCAGGCAGAGCUGGGCAGUGGACCGCAUUGGGAAGUGGCAGGAGCUGGAGUACCCGAGUCCCGCCUACCCAGCGUUCGCCUGCGGUUCGGGCUACGUGGUCUCUCGUGACCUGGUCCAGUGGCUCGCCAGUAAUGCGGAUAAACUGAAGGCCUACCAGGGAGAAGAUGUGAGCAUGGGGAUAUGGAUGGCAGCUGUUGGACCACAGAAAUAUCAGGACCCUGGCUGGCUGUGUGAGAAGGAGUGCUACCUGGAUAUGCUGUCGUCUCCCCAACACACCGCAGAGGAGCUGCACACCCUCUGGGACAGGAAGAGGGCCUGUGGAGACCCCUGCGGCUGUCCCUGGGGCCACUAAGUCUAGCUCCCAGCACAAGUACCACGCGGCACUUGAGCUGCAUGAUAACAGAGUCAUAUCCGCAUCUGUUCCACUCUCCUACGUAGAUAAGGACGGCUGUUUUCACCCCAUCAGCCUCUCUCUCGCUGAUUUGGCUCAAAGCCCUUCAUUGUGAAGCAUGAGAGAAGCAUGGAAAUAACACGCAGAUAGGAGAAAUAAAAGCCAAGCUCUCAUCUCCGCUCUGAGAUAUGCUCCAAAUCUUCUUCUGCCUCCUUUGUUCCCUGGGUGUGUAUGAACCCUGUUCUCUCUUUCCUACCCAUCCAACCAGGCAAUCAAUUCAACCACAUCAUAAUAACUUGAGAGAAAUUGUACAAUGUUUGCCUUACAAAUGCAGCGCUGUGAACUUUUCCUGAGGGGUCCUUUUCACCACUUUUUGUUAUACUUUAUCUCACCCUAUGUCCUGCCAACAUGGGGUAUAAAAAUGUGAUUGUACUAGCAACAAGCAAUGGUUGGAUAAUGUAAAAUAAUGUUGGGUCAGACGGGAACACUACUGAAGAAUUCCUUUGUUCUCUAAAUCAAUCCUUUUGAAAAAGCUGGAAGCGUAAAGCAGAACUAGAAAUAUUUUUUUACAAAACCCCGGCAUAAGGAAAGAUCUAGAUUCAAGAAUGUGAUUCAUCCAUAUGUUCUACAAAUGACCUCACACGUUUUUUUAUUCGUAUCUGCUCUGCAACAAAUUUGUAAUCUUUUCUAAGAAACGAUGAGAUUACUAUUCCCUGAACCACUGACUUAUUUCAACUCUAUUUAUAUUUUGCCAUGAAAGGUCAAUCAUCCAUUUAGCCAGUGACAAGCACUGCUCUCAGACAACAGAGGGAACUCAGGUGCUCAAGUUAAUUGUAUUUAUAAAAUCCUUUUCAUCUUGAGUUACCUCCUCUCAAAACUCAUCUUCUUGCGCUGCGGUUUGAUCACAGGAAUAUUUAGACAUUAUGAUUAAUUUUCCUCAUGGUCCCACUUACAUCUCAACAGAUGAAGCACUUCAUCAACAGUGCAGAUACGGAAUCUGCUCAUAGCUUUUUUGUUAAUUUAUGCCCCCCUGGAACUAACUGUUAUUUUUUUUUUGCUUUUAGCCCCUCUUGUCUACAUAAGGAAGCAGGCCAUCUUCUUCUAUUCCUCCAUGUUUCUACAGUAGCUCAGAAUGGACAAUCUAAACUCCCAUUUUUACUUGAAGGCCACUGUCAUGUUCUGACAUGUUUUGAAAAGGACUUGUUUCCAGUGAUUUCCUACUAAAUCCUAAACAGCGUUACACAUUAUAUAAAGAGUAUUUUGGUAUGAUGUGAUCAUGUUCUUUAGGGUCUGCACACUGACUUUAGGUCAAAUGACCCUAUUGAGUUGUAUCCUCAGUAGUACUGUACCAUCCUAACUCAUUAAUUGUUCCAGUUACUUUGAUGAACUAUUUCAAUGUUUUAUUCAUUCAGGGUGUCCGUGGGGUCUUAAAAAGUAUUAAAAGUUGA
Molecule: RNA transcript, 3114 nt
Organism: Notothenia coriiceps (black rockcod)
Lineage: Eukaryota; Metazoa; Chordata; Actinopteri; Perciformes; Nototheniidae
Gene: b3galnt2
Gene name: beta-1,3-N-acetylgalactosaminyltransferase 2
Exons: 14
Source: RefSeq, a predicted model, not a curated record